Molecule: long non-coding RNA, 677 nt
Filed under: Felis catus (domestic cat)
Lineage: Eukaryota; Metazoa; Chordata; Mammalia; Carnivora; Felidae
Description: lncRNA (ENSFCAG00000047543.1)
Source: RNAcentral
UCUGGGCUGAUGGCUCAGAGCCUGGAGCCUGUUUCCGAUUCUGUGUCUCCCUCUCUCUCUGCCCCUCCCCCGUUCAUGCUCUGUCUCUCUCUGUCGCAAAAAUAAAUAAAAAAAAAAAAGUUGAAAAAGAAAAAAAAUUUAAAAAAAUAAAUAAUUUCACUCUAUUUAACUUUUAGGUAUUGGUGAAUUAACCUUGGAUGAUGUUCAGAAUUCUCAGAAGAAAAGUUUGAAAAUAGUUUUGAAAUACAAUAUUAUCAGAUAGUACUACCUAAAGCACGCUGUCAGAUCCACUUUCAGAUCUCUUUCCACUCUCAAAACAACAGAUUAAAGUCCUUUAAACUGCAGAAGUAUUAGAUCACUGCCAAUUUAUCAACAAAACAAAGUAAGGAGCCUCUUGCAAACAAUCACCUCAUAAUUUUUCUUAAAUAACUGAAGAAGCAAGUUGUGAGCUCAGCUACUAUGUAUGCAAAAGACUCCUGCAGAUGACCAGAGAAUAGAGAUGACAGGCAGCAGUGAAAUGUGGCACAAAAAUCUGUCUCUGGGACCAUUCGAAGAGUUCUGAAUCACAACUUCGGCACCUGUUAGUGGAGUAGUCUCAGGCAAGUCACUUAACAUUUCUGAACCUUGCUUUCUCUUUAUAAAAUAAAGAAAAUAGAAUCUAUUAGGAAGAGUUCUUU